Molecule: non-coding RNA, 73 nt
Organism: Entophlyctis helioformis
Lineage: Eukaryota; Fungi; Chytridiomycota; Chytridiomycetes; Chytridiales; Chytriomycetaceae
Source: the annotation of a GenBank genome assembly
GCCUCCUUAGCUCAGCUGGGAGAGCGUUAGACUGAAGAUCUAAAUGUCCGGUGUUCAAUCCACCGAGGGGGCA